GAUGAACGUUGGCGGCGUGCUUAACACAUGCAAGUCGAACGAAGCACUUUAUUUGAUUUCCUUCGGGACUGAUUAUUUUGUGACUGAGUGGCGGACGGGUGAGUAACGCGUGGGUAACCUGCCUUGUACAGGGGGAUAACAGUUGGAAACGGCUGCUAAUACCGCAUAAGCGCACAGCAUCGCAUGAUGCAGUGUGAAAAACUCCGGUGGUAUAAGAUGGACCCGCGUUGGAUUAGCUAGUUGGUGAGGUAACGGCCCACCAAGGCGACGAUCCAUAGCCGACCUGAGAGGGUGACCGGCCACAUUGGGACUGAGACACGGCCCAAACUCCUACGGGAGGCAGCAGUGGGGAAUAUUGCACAAUGGGCGAAAGCCUGAUGCAGCGACGCCGCGUGAGCGAAGAAGUAUUUCGGUAUGUAAAGCUCUAUCAGCAGGGAAGAUAAUGACGGUACCUGACUAAGAAGCACCGGCUAAAUACGUG
Molecule: ribosomal RNA, 481 nt
Filed under: uncultured bacterium
Lineage: Bacteria
Description: partial 16S ribosomal RNA
Rfam family: Bacterial small subunit ribosomal RNA
Source: RNAcentral